Molecule: long non-coding RNA, 4268 nt
Filed under: Hordeum vulgare
Lineage: Eukaryota; Viridiplantae; Streptophyta; Magnoliopsida; Poales; Poaceae
Description: long non-coding RNA (HVUL_LNC017182)
Source: RNAcentral
AUGGCGUCGAAAACAAGCCUGAGCUUCCAGAGAUUAGGCAUUGCGUCCGCCUCAAAUCUUAGCCAAGCUAUUCCACUCAUGAACCUCAGCUUCAAGUACUUGAGAGCUGUGAAUCCAGCAGCCGUGCCAAAGAUUAUCUUAACAUUAGGUGACUUGUCCACAUACAAUGACAGGGCAGUGAGGGCAGGAAACCCACUAAGAACAUCAACGUCAUUUACUGACAGUCCAGCCACUGCAAUCUUCAGAAUGCAUAGGUUGCCAAGUUGGAUAUUCCACCUAUGCAUGUCGCAAAAUACGACGGGGCUGUGUGGUGAGACCUCGAGUCUCUGGAGAUGAUGGAUAGGUCUAUCCAAGAACCACAAAACUCUUGCUUCUGAAGCGUCACCAUAGCUAACCGAGGAUCCGUGAGCCACCAGUUUUACAGUUUUCAGGCUGUCAUGUUCAUACAUUAAAUAAUCCAGAGCAUACAUGCUUCUCUGCGGUUGGUCGGGAUCUGAAGAAGGCGGUGUCGAAAUGCAAAGAUCCUGCAGGUGGUUCGGCUUGCAAAGGCACAUAUCAUCACCGACAGACCAAUCCAGCAAAUUUGUGUGAGGAGGAAGACUGAGGNNNNNNNNNNNNNNNNNNNNNNNNNNNNNNNNNNNNNNNNNNNNNNNNNNNNNNNNNNNNNNNNNNNNNNNNNNNNNNNNNNNNNNNNNNNNNNNNNNNNUACCAUGUCGAUAUUGUCUCCACUGGUCACACACCGAAUAAAGUUCAAGUCGUUGGUCCAUUUGAGGGAUGGCGUCGAAAACAAGCCUGAGCUUCCAGAGAUUAGGCAUUGCGUCCGCCUCAAAUCUUAGCCAGGCUAUUCCAAUCAUGAACCUCAGCUUCAAGUACUUGAGAGCUGUGAAUCCAGCACCCGUGCCAAAUAUUAUCUUAACAUUAGGUGACUUCUCCACAUACAACGACAGGGCAGUGAGGGCAGUCAACCCUCUAAGAAUAUCAACAUUAUGUACCGACAGUUCACUCAAUGCAAUCUUCAGAAUGCACAGGUUGCCAAGUUGGAUCCUCCACCUAUGCAUUUGGCAAAAUACGACGGGGCUGUGUGGUGAGACCUCAGAUCUCUGGAUAUGGUGGGUAGGUUUAUUUAAAAUCCAGCCAACUCUUGCUCUUGAAGCGUCACCAUAGCUAACCGAGGACCCGCAAGUCACCAGUUUUACAGUUUUCAGGCUGUCAUGUUCAUACAUUAAAUAACCCAGAGCAUACAUGCUUCUCUCCAGUUGGUCGGAAUCUGAAGAAGGCGGUGUCGAAAUGCAAAGAUCCUGCAGGUGGUUCGGCCUGCAAAGGCUCAUCUCAUCGUCGACAGACCAAUCCAGCAAAUUUGUGUCAGGAGGAAGACUGAGGNNNNNNNNNNNNNNNNNNNNNNNNNNNNNNNNNNNNNNNNNNNNNNNNNNNNNNNNNNNNNNNNNNNNNNNNNNNNNNNNNNNNNNNNNNNNNNNNNNNNAGUACGUAUACUACGUAGUAUAUAUAUAUAUAUAUAUAUAUAUAUAUAUAUAUAUAUAUAUACAUAUAAUAUAUUAUAAAACAAUUCACAGUUAUGCAAAUAUAGUAUCCCAGCGUCAGACAGAACACGAGUAUUGCAAGUGCAGUAAAAGCAGGAAAAACACGUUCAACCUUGCCUUAUUUCCUUAUUUCCGGUUGAUCGUUGUACAAACGACUUUAAGAAAAAUAAACAACUGGAAAGUAAAAUCAUGAUUUUACACUCUUAGAGCAGAUUAAUCUAAAUACCAAACUAGGAGUAAAUACAUUUUCAGAACAACUGACUGAAUAUCGAAGGGUCCAAAUUGUUUUUUAUUCAGAGUUUGAAAAAUCUUGAACAAAAAAUAGAGGGAAAGCUAGAGACUGCAUUGGAAGUAACUGAGAGUUCUGUUUUACUGUAAAGAUAAAGUUGGGUGAUGGAGAUGAAGAUCGUUAGAACACCAUAUGAAAACAUUAUUGGAACACAAAUUGCAACUGGAAAUAACAGCUAGUGACUAAAACUCGGAUGUUUCUGCAGGCACUUUCUCUGGAGCUCAUUCAUGUCUUCUCUUUUUGUAUGAUCAGCAGAGCGCUCCCAGGAAAUUCAGACUGAGAAUGAGGCACAGCCAGCACUGCAUGGAAAUAUGAAGAGAAACGCUGUGUCAUUGAAAUCAUGGAGCAAACUUGAUAAAGAAAAAUAAUAUACAAAGCGAGUACGUACAAGGUAAGUAACUUACUCAUAUCUUGCAUGCAUGCAUCCAACCUUUUAUUCAGUCGACCGACUCAGCAGCCCAUCACGGCGCACACAAUCCAACUUACUCAUAUAUUGUAUGCAUGCAUUCUUUAUUCAGUUGACCGACUCAGCAACCCAUCACUGCGCACACAAUCCGCUCGCCCCGGUAUGGCCGUGUGGCAAACAAAUCCCAGACAGGCGGUUCCCCAUCCGGGGUCCAUGAAUGAAGCUCAACCACCUUUUCAUCUGUUGAAUCGUUUGGACGCCCGAUAACAAUCAGCCGGUCACCACACGCUCGGAAACCCAUGUCCCAGCCAUCUUUGUCCUUAGACUGCACGGGCAAUUUUCCAAGAGUGGUCCACUUGUUGUCCAGCUUAUCAUACAGCUUCAAAUCAUUAUUCUCACUGUAAUCAGCAGCAUAAAGCUCGUUGUUCACAACCGCAAGGAGCGGAGGAGCUCCCGCGAAUGUCUCGUUGAGCCCCUGAGACAUGUUGUCGAUGACCCUCCAUGACCGCAGGUUCAAGUCAUACUCCUCACCGCAAGUCAACACCUGGUGGCUACUGGAAUAACCACCGAUGACAUAGAACUUGCCGUCCAUGAAGGCGCCAGAGCAUCCGUACCUGGCCCUAUUCAUGCUGGGAAGGGGUGUCCAAGUAUGUGUCUCCGAGUCAUACAUCUCUGCCGUGCUCAAUACAUUAGUACCAGAAGGAUCAAGGCCUCCCGCGACGUACGCCUUCUCACCUACACUGGCUGACCCAAACCAGGCCCGCGGGGUGUUGAUCGCAUCAGCAUCAGCAUCAGGCAGCCCUGUCCAUGAAUUGGUAAGGAUGCUAUAUCUCAAGGAAACCCCUGCGGACCCAAACACCAGCAGCUCGGUUCCUACAGCCAGUGACUCCCAGAAUCUGCUUUGAGCCGGUGGCAUCUUGGGCACUUUGAUCCAGCGCCCGGUGGACGGGUCAUAAGCAUCCCACUCCGGAGGAUUAUUAUUACCGCAGGAGAGGUAGAUCCAGUGCUCUGCCACCCCAUUCUUGCGACGAAGGCGGUAGAUGUCCCCGUCGCGAACCACCGAAUUGAAUUCACGGUUGAGGGAGGCGAUGGAGGCGCCGUAGUCCCGCCUGGACACAAGGUGGAGGCAACGGAUGAAGAGCUCCCGACCUAUCACAUCAAUGGUAUUGCUCCACGACACCACGGUCUGCUGCGCUCCACCUGACAAAAGCCAACAGCUCAUCCAUCGUCUUACUAAUUUCUACGAGUAAUUAAUAGCUAUUGGAACUCCUGUUGACUGAAUAGCAUACCUGGAGGAUUCAGGCGUGAACAGGACUCUGGUGACCUCGAUGAUACCCUGCAGGUUACAACUACCAUUUAGAGCAUGAGCAUGAAUAGUCAAAUCAGGUUUAAUCGAAUAACUCAACAUCAACAAAAGUAGUUUACAACAGCAACAAAAGUAGUACCUUUUAUCGCCAUGGGAACCGGAAUCCACUAAUUUCACCUCGAUUAUAGGAUUGCUCAGAUGAUUGCUAACAACACCGAUCCUCGCGACAUACUGCAGAUCAACAGCCGCACCCCCAAAUUUAGCGGAGACCUCUCUAAGGCCCGUCAUAUGCUCGAUGCUGAUUAGUGCAUUACCAUGUCGAUAUUGUCUCCACUGGUCACGCUUAGAAUAAAGUUCAAGUCGUUGGUCCAUUUGAGGGAUGGCGUCGAAAACAAGCCUGAGCUUCCAGAGAUUAGGCAUUGCGUCCGCCUCAAAUCUUAGCCAAGCUAUUCCACUCAUGAACCUCAGCUUCAAGUACUUGAGAGCUGUGAAUCCAGCAGCCGUGCCAAAGAUUAUCUUAACAUUAGGUGACUUGUCCACAUACAAUGACAGGGCAGUGAGGGCAGGAAACCCACUAAGAAUAUCAACGUCAUUUACUGACAGUCCAUCCACUGCAAUCUUCAGAAUGCAUAGGUUGCCAAGUUGGAUCUUCCACCUAUGCAUUUCGCAAAAUACGACGGGGCUGUGUGGUGAGACCUCGAAUCUCUGGAGAUGGUGGAUAGGUCUAUC